Molecule: ribosomal RNA, 117 nt
Organism: Danio rerio (zebrafish)
Lineage: Eukaryota; Metazoa; Chordata; Actinopteri; Cypriniformes; Danionidae
Source: Ensembl
UGCCACAGUAAUUUCACCCUGCAGUCCAAUACCAGUUACUCACUGAAGCUAAGCAGGGCUGAGCCUGGUCAGUACCUGGAUGGGAGACCACAUGGAAAAACUAAGUUGCUGUUGGAA